This 525-nucleotide ribosomal RNA is filed under the name Pyrenula subglabrata. RNAcentral describes it as "partial small subunit ribosomal RNA". Lineage: Eukaryota; Fungi; Ascomycota; Eurotiomycetes; Pyrenulales; Pyrenulaceae. The record is from RNAcentral.
GUACAUUUGCCGAAACCUCAGCAAGCCCGUUUCUACAGGGCUGAUCAUGCGACUCUAAAGAAAUUGAUCUUUUGGUUGAACCCUCUAAUUGUUCCAACUGAAAUGCUGGUUAGCCAUUACCGCUAGCAACACCUUGAGUCUGCGGGGAAACUCGAAGCCCGGGUCACCUGCAGCCAGAGAUAACCGAUGUAAAAUCUGUUCCUGGCUCACAGACUAAAUAAUGGUGGGCACCGCGUUUAGUACCACGGUGCUUCAGAUAUAGCCGUGUCUUUAGGGAUUCUAAAGUCCUACUGAUGUACGAAUUUCUGCCCGUCAUGUCUGGAGAAUAUAGUAGUCCAUAUGCUUAGAUUUUAUUAUAGAAUAUAACGGUAGGGCAUAUACUAUAUAUCAACCUCCAAUAUCGUCUAAAGUCUCGAUUGGCUGCCAAAAACGCGGGUUGCAUGUGCACCGUGUAUUAACGAGCACACGGGGAUUCUUACAUUAACAAAAUCUCGUUCCGUAGGUGAACCUGCGGAAGGAUCAUUA